GGCCUGUGGAGGCUGACAAGGAGCAAGGAAAUGGGCGCUAAUCAGGAGAGGUGGGGAAGGAAGUCAGCAGGGGAGGGAAGGAGGGUGGAACGCAACUACAGGCCCAGAAAUUCAGGGACACAGUGACGGCCUCUUGGGGGACAGCGGGACACGGGCCUUCCUUCAUGGUCCAUUAUGGAAUCUUAGGGCUGGGACUGGCCUGGAGAUCAGAGACCUACUCCGCAUGGCAGGGGCGAGGCGACUGAAGCACAGCAGGGGAUGCAGAGGUGGGGAUGGAGCUCAGUCUGGGAUCGGGAGACACCGUCUCGUGAACAGUGGGGCCCAGGUUCUCUCCUCUGGCCUGACUUUGCCUUUUUCUUCCCAAGACCUUCCUGUCAUUAUUGUUGAACACUAUUUCGAGUAUGUGGAGGAGUCCAAAGAACAGAUCAACAGUCUGCAUUUCAUCGUGGAGUCCUCCCAAGACCCAGCGUGAGCUGCCCACUGCUGCAGACCCCAGCCCUCAGGCGAGUGUAUUCCCACCGAGGCCCCCCGUGCCUUGCAGCCUGCAGCGUUCUGAGGCUGGGAUGAUGUGGUGUUUGACCUCCUUGGUGGGAUCCGGACAUUCUUUCGGCUGUCUUUGGUGUAACAGCUUUGUGUUGUGCUGGGCAAAGGUGUGUCAUAAUGAGAAUCAGAGGGUAGAAUAAGGAAUGGGCCUUAUGAGUCUUGUUUGAGCUGGCCUCUGGGACCAGUGAGUUUGACUGACAUCUACCUGGAUGAACUUAGCUGAAGGCCACCGAUCAA
This is a long non-coding RNA of Manis pentadactyla (Chinese pangolin), 780 nucleotides long. RefSeq lists it as uncharacterized. The transcript has 3 exons. NCBI's taxonomy places the organism in Eukaryota, Metazoa, Chordata, Mammalia, Pholidota, Manidae. The record is from RefSeq and is a predicted model, not a curated record.